Molecule: ribosomal RNA, 253 nt
Filed under: uncultured bacterium
Lineage: Bacteria
Description: partial 16S ribosomal RNA
Rfam family: Bacterial small subunit ribosomal RNA
Source: RNAcentral
UACGUAGGGGGCUAGCGUUGCUCGGAAUUAUUGGGCGUAAAGAGCUCGUAGGCGGUUUGUCGCGUCUGCCGUGAAAGUCCGGGGCUUAACCCCGGAUCUGCGGUGGGUACGGGCAGACUAGAGUGCAGUAGGGGAGACUGGAAUUCCUGGUGUAGCGGUGAAAUGCGCAGAUAUCAGGAGGAACACCGAUGGCGAAGGCAGGUCUCUGGGCUGUAACUGACGCUGAGGAGCGAAAGCAUGGGGAGCGAACAGG